GCGGGCGGCCCCUCCCUGGGGCCGCUGCCUCCCUCGGGGGGUGCCCGCCGGCGUACCAAAACUCUUUUGUAUUUUAGUGGCCUCUCUGAGAAAACAAGCAAAUAAGUUAAAACUUUCAACAACGGAUCUCUUGGUUCUGGCAUCGAUGAAGAACGCAGCGAAAUGCGAUAAGUAAUGUGAAUUGCAGAAUUCAGUGAAUCAUCGAAUCUUUGAACGCACAUUGCGCCCGCCAGUACUCUGGCGGGCAUGCCUGUUCGAGCGUCAUUUCAACCCUCAAGCCCUGCUUGGUGUUGGGGUCCUACGGCUGCCGUAGGCCCUGAAAGCUAGUGGCGGGCUCGCUAUAACUCCGAGCGUAGUAGUAAAAUAUCUCGCUAGGGAGGUGUCGCGGGUUCCGGCCGUGAAAGCCCAUCUUUUACACAAGGUUGACCUCGGAUCAGGUAGGAAUACCCGCUGAACUUAAGCAUAUCAAUAAGCGGAGGAAAAGAAACCAACAGGGAUUGCCCCAGUAACGGCGAGUGAAGCGGCAACAGCUCAAAUUUGAAAUCUGGCUUCGGCCCGAGUUGUAAUUUGUAGAGGAUGCUUUUGGUGAGGUGCCUUCUGAGUUCCCUGGAACGGGACGCCAGAGAGGGUGAGAGCCCCGUAUAGUUGGACACCGAGCCUCUGUAAAGCUCCUUCGACGAGUCGAGUAGUUUGGGAAUGCUGCUCAAAAUGGGAGGUAUAUCUCUUCUAAAGCUAAAUACUGGCCAGAGACCGAUAGCGCACAAGUAGAGUGAUCGAAAGAUGAAAAGCACUUUGAAAAGAGGGUUAAAUAGUACGUGAAAUUGUUGAAAGGG
Molecule: ribosomal RNA, 833 nt
Filed under: Sordariomycetes sp. genotype 9
Lineage: Eukaryota; Fungi; Ascomycota; Sordariomycetes
Description: eukaryotic LSU rRNA
Rfam family: Eukaryotic large subunit ribosomal RNA (bases 424-833)
Source: RNAcentral